GACGAGUCUCACAAACGUUAUUCGGAAUUACUGGGCUUAAAGGGUGCGUAGGCGGUGGAGUAAGUCGGAUGUGAAAUACCUUAGCUUAACUAGGGAACUGCACUCGAUACUACUUUGCUAGAGUAAGACAGAGGUGAGUGGAACUGAGGGUGGAGCGGUGAAAUGCGUUGAUAUCCUCAGGAACACCGGUGGCGAAGGCGGCAUCCUGGACCGGCAUUGACGCUGAGGCGCGAAAGCUAGGGGAGCAAACGGG
RNAcentral lists this ribosomal RNA (253 nucleotides) under uncultured bacterium. Its description in RNAcentral is "partial 16S ribosomal RNA". It matches the Rfam family "Bacterial small subunit ribosomal RNA", at positions 524 to 776 of the family's 1533-position model. The record is from RNAcentral.